Molecule: non-coding RNA, 280 nt
Filed under: bovine gut metagenome
Source: RNAcentral
AGAACUUACAAAUCGAAGAGUGGAAUGAAGGGGUAACGCCCGGAAACGCUCUCUCUAAGAGGUCCCACAUGCACAGAAAGAAUGAGUUCUGAAGUGUAUGAAGCUGGGUAAAUCAGGCCGAGAAUUGCCCUAACAGAGAGAUUAUGGGAAUAGGUCUUAGUAAUUGUUGGUUUAAAAGUGGCCAGAGCCCGCCUGCAAAGAAAAGACACGAAAACAUAAUUGAGCUGAGGAAAAUCGUCCAGAGGUGGACGACGCAAUCUAUAGGUCGUGAGGCUACAAA